RNAcentral lists this ribosomal RNA (557 nucleotides) under Parahaemophilus parainfluenzae. RNAcentral describes it as "Haemophilus parainfluenzae bacterial LSU rRNA". It matches the Rfam family "Bacterial large subunit ribosomal RNA", at positions 656 to 1211 of the family's 2925-position model. The record is from RNAcentral. Lineage: Bacteria; Pseudomonadati; Pseudomonadota; Gammaproteobacteria; Pasteurellales; Pasteurellaceae.
AAUAGGGGAGCCGAAGGGAAACCGAGUCUUAACUGGGCGUCUAGUUGCAAGGUAUAGACCCGAAACCCGGUGAUCUAGCCAUGGGCAGGUUGAAGGUUGGGUAACACUAACUGGAGGACCGAACCGACUAAUGUUGAAAAAUUAGCGGAUGACUUGUGGCUGGGGGUGAAAGGCCAAUCAAACCGGGAGAUAGCUGGUUCUCCCCGAAAUCUAUUUAGGUAGAGCCUUGAGCGGACACCUUCGGGGGUAGAGCACUGUUUCGGCUAGGGGUCCAUCCCGGAUUACCAACCCGAUGCAAACUACGAAUACCGAAGAGUGAUACUCAGGAGACACACGGCGGGUGCUAACGUCCGUCGUGGAGAGGGAAACAACCCAGACCGCCAGCUAAGGUCCCAAAGUCUAUAUUAAGUGGGAAACGAAGUGGGAAGGCUUAGACAGCUAGGAUGUUGGCUUAGAAGCAGCCAUCAUUUAAAGAAAGCGUAAUAGCUCACUAGUCGAGUCGGCCUGCGCGGAAGAUGUAACGGGGCUCAAAUAUAGCACCGAAGCUGCGGCAUCAG